RNAcentral lists this ribosomal RNA (517 nucleotides) under uncultured bacterium. RNAcentral describes it as "bacterial SSU rRNA". It matches the Rfam family "Bacterial small subunit ribosomal RNA", at positions 8 to 524 of the family's 1533-position model. The record is from RNAcentral.
AGAGUUUGAUCCUGGCUCAGAUUGAACGCUGGCGGCAGGCUUAACACAUGCAAGUCGAACGAUGAUUAUCUAGCUUGCUAGAUAUGAUUAGUGGCGGACGGGUGAGUAACAUUUAGGAAUCUGCCUAGUAGUGGGGGAUAGCUCGGGGAAACUCGAAUUAAUACCGCAUACGACCUACGGGUGAAAGGGGGCGCAAGCUCUUGCUAUUAGAUGAGCCUAAAUCAGAUUAGCUAGUUGGUGGGGUAAAGGCCCACCAAGGCGACGAUCUGUAACUGGUCUGAGAGGAUGAUCAGUCACACCGGAACUGAGACACGGUCCGGACUCCUACGGGAGGCAGCAGUGGGGAAUAUUGGACAAUGGGGGCAACCCUGAUCCAGCCAUGCCGCGUGUGUGAAGAAGGCCUUUUGGUUGUAAAGCACUUUAAGCAGGGAGGAGAGGCUAAUGGUUAAUACCCAUUAGAUUAGACGUUACCUGCAGAAUAAGCACCGGCUAACUCUGUGCCAGCAGCCGCGGUAAU